CGGCGAGCGGCGGACGGGUGAGUAAUGUCUGGGAAACUGCCUGAUGGAGGGGGAAAACUACUGGAAACGGUAGCUAAUACCGCAUGACCUCGAAAGAGCAAAGUGGGGGAUCUUCGGACCUCACGCCAUCGGAUGUGCCCAGAUGGGAUUAGCUAGUAGGUGAGGUAAUGGCUCACCUAGGCGACGAUCCCUAGCUGGUCUGAGAGGAUGACCAGCCACACUGGAACUGAGACACGGUCCAGACUCCUACGGGAGGCAGCAGUGGGGAAUAUUGCACAAUGGGCGCAAGCCUGAUGCAGCCAUGCCGCGUGUGUGAAGAAGGCCUUAGGGUUGUAAAGCACUUUCAGCGAGGAGGAAGGCAUCACACUUAAUACGUGUGGUGAUUGACGUUACUCGCAGAAGAAGCACCGGCUAACUCCGUGCCAGCAGCCGCGGUAAUACGGAGGGUGCAAGCGUUAAUCGGAAUUACUGGGCGUAAAGCGCACGCAGGCGGUUUGUUAAGUCAGAUGUGAAAUCCCCGCGCUUAACGUGGGAACUGCAUUUGAAACUGGCAAGCUAG
This 559-nucleotide ribosomal RNA is filed under the name Rahnella aquatilis. RNAcentral describes it as "bacterial SSU rRNA". It matches the Rfam family "Bacterial small subunit ribosomal RNA", at positions 89 to 644 of the family's 1533-position model. Lineage: Bacteria; Pseudomonadati; Pseudomonadota; Gammaproteobacteria; Enterobacterales; Yersiniaceae. The record is from RNAcentral.